CAAGUCGAACGAGAAAGCCCUUCGGGGUGAGUAGAGUGGCGCACGGGUGAGUAAUGCAUGGGAACAUACCUUCAGGUGGGGGAUAACAGUUGGAAACGACUGCUAAUACCGCAUGGUCUCUUCGGAGUAAACGAGGCCUCUACUUGUAAGCUACGGCCUGAAGAUUGGCCCAUGUCGCAUUAGCUUGUUGGUGGGGUAAUGGCCCACCAAGGCGACGAUGCGUAGCUGGUCUGAGAGGAUGAUCAGCCACACUGGAACUGAGACACGGUCCAGACUCCUACGGGAGGCAGCAGUGGGGAAUAUUGCACAAUGGGCGCAAGCCUGAUGCAGCAACGCCGCGUGGGUGAAGAAGGCUCUUGGGUCGUAAAGCCCUUUCGGCAGAGAAGAAGGGCGUUUAGUCAAAUAGGCUAGACGUUUGACGGUAUCUGCAUAAGAAGCACCGGCUAAUUUCGUGCCAGCAGCCGCGGUAAUACGAAAGGUGCAAGCGUUGUUCGGAAUAACUGGGCGUAAAGCGCUCGUAGGCGGGAAUUCAGGUCGAUUGUGAAAGCCCAGGGCUCAACCUUGGAAUUGCAGUCGAAACCGUUUUUCUUGAAUACCUGAGAGGGUGGGGGAAUUCCUAGUGGAGAAGUGAAAUUCGUAGAGAUUAGGAGGAACACCAGAGGCGAAGGCGCCUGCCUGGCAGUGUAUUGACGCUGAGGAGCGAAAGUGUGGGGAGCAAACAGGAUUAGAUACCCUGGUAGUCCACACCGUAAACGAUGGAUACUAGCCGCUUGGGGAGUUAACCCCCUGAGUGGCGCAGCACACGCAUUAAGUAUCCCGCCUGGGGAGUACGGUCGCAAGGCUAAAACUCAAAGGAAUUGACGGGGGCCCGCACAAGCGGU
RNAcentral lists this ribosomal RNA (881 nucleotides) under metagenome. RNAcentral describes it as "bacterial SSU rRNA". It matches the Rfam family "Bacterial small subunit ribosomal RNA", at positions 58 to 933 of the family's 1533-position model. The record is from RNAcentral.